RNAcentral lists this ribosomal RNA (403 nucleotides) under Verrucomicrobiota bacterium. RNAcentral's name for it is "Verrucomicrobia bacterium partial 16S ribosomal RNA". It matches the Rfam family "Bacterial small subunit ribosomal RNA", at positions 355 to 776 of the family's 1533-position model. Lineage: Bacteria; Pseudomonadati; Verrucomicrobiota. The record is from RNAcentral.
UGGGGAAUAUUGCACAAUGGGGGAAACCCUGAUGCAGCGACGCCGCGUGAGCGAAGAAGGUUUUCGAAUCGUAAAGCUCUGUCCUAUGAGAAGAUAAUGACGGUAUCAUAGGAGGAAGCCCCGGCUAAAUACGUGCCAGCAGCCGCGGUAAUACGUAUGGGGCGAGCGUUGUCCGGAAUUAUUGGGCGUAAAGGGUACGUAGGCGGUCUAUUAAGUCAGGUGUGAAAGCGUGAGGCUUAACCUCAUUAAGCACUUGAAAAUGAUAGAAUUGAGUGAAGGAGAGGAAAGUGGAAUUCCUAGUGUAGCGGUGAAAGGCGUAGAUAUUAGGAGGAAUACCGGUGGCGAAGGCGACUUACUGGACGACAACUGACGCUUAGGCGCGAAAGCGUGGGGAGCAAACAGG